CGUUUGGUUCCUUUGCUUAUUUUUAAGCAAGUGUCACAUCAAUAUUUGGAUACUAAUUAGGAGUAUUAAAUGUAGGCUAUUUACAAAACCCAUUACAUAAGUGGAGGCUAAACAGCGAGACGAACCUAUUAAGCCUAAUUAAUCCAUCAUUAGCAAAUGUUUACUGUAGCAACACGUUGUCAAAUCAUGGACUAAUUAGGCCUCAUAGCUUCGUGUAUUCGAUUAGCCUCCGCUUAUGUAGUGGGUUUUGUAAAUAGUCUACGUUUAAUACUUCUAAUUAAUAUCUAAACAUUGAUGUGACACUUGCUUAAAAAUAAGUAAAGGAACCAAACCAGGCCUGAAUGGAACCCUGCCUUCUAAGGUUAACUCAUUGGCUUAACUAACCGGCCAUCGACGGGUCGCCGUCUCCCACUUUUCCACCCUGGUAGAUACGAGCUUUUUACUGUUGCUUCCUUUCAGAUGCAGCAACGACAACGAUAGGGGAUUUAGGCCUGGUUUGAUUUACAUUGCUUAUUUUUAAGCACCCAUCACAUCGAUAUUUAGAUAUUAAUUAGAAGUAUUAAACGUAGACUAUUUACAAAACCCACUACAUAAGCGGAGGCUAAACGGCGAGACGAAUCUAUUAAGCCUAAUUAGUCCAUAAUUUGACAAUGUGUUGCUACAGUAAAUAUUUGCUAAUGAUGGAUUAAUUAGGCUUAAUAGAUUCGUCUCGCUGUUUAGCCUCCACUUAUGUAAUGG
This 738-nucleotide long non-coding RNA is filed under the name Setaria italica (foxtail millet). Its description in RNAcentral is "long non-coding RNA (SITA_LNC005318)". Lineage: Eukaryota; Viridiplantae; Streptophyta; Magnoliopsida; Poales; Poaceae. The record is from RNAcentral.